Molecule: ribosomal RNA, 474 nt
Filed under: uncultured bacterium
Lineage: Bacteria
Description: partial 16S ribosomal RNA
Rfam family: Bacterial small subunit ribosomal RNA
Source: RNAcentral
GACGAACGCUGGCGGCGUGCCUAAUACAUGCAAGUAGAACGCUGAAGGAGGAGCUUGCUUCUCUGGAUGAGUUGCGAACGGGUGAGUAACGCGUAGGUAACCUGCCUGGUAGCGGGGGAUAACUAUUGGAAACGAUAGCUAAUACCGCAUAAGAGUAGAUGUUGCAUGACAUUUGCUUAAAAGGUGCAAUUGCAUCACUACGAGAUGGACCUGCGUUGUAUUAGCUAGUUGGGGAGGUAACGGCUGACCAAGGCGACGAUGCAAAGUCGGCCUGUGAGGGUGACCGGCGACAUUGGGACUGAGAUACGGCCCAGCGGAGUAUGGGAGGCAGGAGUGGGGAAUAUUGAACAAUGGGCGGAAGAAAGAUGGAGGAACGCCGCGUGCGGGAUGACGGCCGUCGGGUUGUAAACAGAUUUCGACUGUGAAGAAGCGUGAGUGACGGUAAUUGGUAAAGAAGCAACGGCUAACUACGUG